Long non-coding RNA from Boleophthalmus pectinirostris (great blue-spotted mudskipper), 957 nucleotides. RefSeq lists it as uncharacterized. The transcript is spliced from 4 exons. NCBI's taxonomy places the organism in Eukaryota, Metazoa, Chordata, Actinopteri, Gobiiformes, Gobiidae. The record is from RefSeq and is a predicted model, not a curated record.
GCAGGCUGAGGAGGCAGGGAGCUGGCCAACUUCUCCGGAGGCAACGGCAGACGACCAGGAGACACCUGGGAGAAAACAGGAGUAGGUAAAUCCAGGGCAAACAAUAAGCAAGACGGGAAUAAAUCCAAGAGCCUGGUGACGCUACCGAACAGGACGGAAUUAUCUGGCAAAGUGGUGAUGAGAAGACCAGGGCUAAAUACUGAGGUAGAUGAAGGGAUUGAUUGCAGGUGUGUCUCGUCUGCUCCGGAAAAAGCCAGCCACGCCCCCUGCCACACUCAAGCUCUGAAACAGAAAAGGGAGGGGGAGAGAACAAAAACACAAAUCCUAACACUACUUUUCUUUCCCAGGCUUAUGUUGAUCGGACUGGCCAUUACAGCCAAAUCGAGCUGUUGGACUUCAUCGACUUGUUGAAGAGAAUGUUCACCAUGGAUCGGGGCCAGCGGAUCACCCCAGCUCAGAUCCUGGAGCAUCCUUUUAUUCAGCCUAAGAAGAAAAAGAAGAAAAAAGAAGAAGAUCAGAGCGGUUGAAAACACCACGCCUCAGGAGGUGGACAAUCCCAGGCCAAUUCAGAUUGGGCCACUCACUGCCGUGUUUGGGCCUCAUACAGCUGUCCCCGUCCCAAAGAAGAAGAACUGUUUCCAGAGGGCUUUCUCUUGGUUGAGGAAACAUUUGGAUAUGUAGCAGCCUAUUUGGUCCAGCAUGUUUUUGGGACGUCUUGAAAGAAUUGACUGAUGAAGUUGUUUGGAGGUUACUAUGAGUUUUUCCCAGGUGUCCCAGGAUAAGGAUAAGUGCAGAAGACAAGACGGCACAGAAUGCAAGCCCUGCCCAUUUCCCCUGUGUUUACAGAUGUGCAUAAUAUACUCCUGUGUAUUAUAGAUCAGCGAGACUGUGCUCUGAUUGGUGCUACAGUGGUGCUGAGAUGGUAUGUGUUGUGCUGUCUUGUCAGUUAAAGGUUGU